RNAcentral lists this ribosomal RNA (569 nucleotides) under uncultured cyanobacterium. Its description in RNAcentral is "bacterial SSU rRNA". It matches the Rfam family "Bacterial small subunit ribosomal RNA", at positions 35 to 643 of the family's 1533-position model. The record is from RNAcentral. Lineage: Bacteria; Bacillati; Cyanobacteriota.
GCUGGCGGUAUGCUUUACACAUGCAAGUCGUACGAGAGUUUUUAACUCAAGUGGCGGACGGGUGAGUAACACGUAAGAAUUUGCCUUUAGGAGGGGGACAACAACUGGAAACGGUUGCUAAUACCCCAUAUGCUUUCGAGUGAAAUGGAUUUUUCCGCCUAAAGAGAAGCUUGCGGCUGAUUAGCUUGUUGGUGAGGUAAUGGCUCACCAAGGCGACGAUCAGUAUCUGGUUUGAGAGGACGAUCAGACACACUGGAACUGAGACACGGUCCAGACUCCUACGGGAGGCAGCAGUGGGGAAUUUUCCGCAAUGGGCGAAAGCCUGACGGAGCAAUACCGCGUGAGGGAUGACGGCCUAUGGGUUGUAAACCUCUUUUUUCAGGGAGGAAUGAAAUGACGUGUACCUGAAGAAUAAGCAUCGGCUAACUCCGUGCCAGCAGCCGCGGUAAGACGGAGGAUGCAAGUGUUAUCCGGAAUCACUGGGCGUAAAGCGUCUGUAGGUGGUCCAAUAAGUCAACUGUUAAAUCUUGAGGCUCAACCUCAAAAUCGCAGUCGAAACUAUUAGACUA